ACUCACUAUAGGGCGAAUUGGGCCCUCUAGAUGCAUGCUCGAGCGGCCGCCAGUGUGAUGGAUAUCUGCAGAAUUCGCCCUUAGAGUUUGAUCAUGGCUCAGAGUGAACGCUGGCGGCGUGCUUAACACAUGCAAGUCGAACGAGAACGGCCCUUGCUUGCAAGGGUGUCAGCUAAGUGGCGGACGGGUGAGUAAUGUAUAGUUAACUUGCCCCUUGGAGGGGGAUAACAGUUGGAAACGACUGCUAAUACCCCAUAUUCCUUCUGUGUUAGUCAUAGAAGGGAAACGGUUUAUUCUGCCAAGGGAUAGGACUAUAUGGUAUCAGGUAGUUGGUGGGGUAAGAGCCUACCAAGCCGAUGACGCCUAGCUGGUCUGAGAGGAUGAUCAGCCACACUGGAACUGAGACACGGUCCAGACUCCUACGGGAGGCAGCAGUGGGGAAUAUUGCGCAAUGGGGGAAACCCUGAUGCAGCAACGCCGCGUGGAGGAUGACGCAUUUCGGUGUGUAAACUCCUUUUAUAUGGGAAGAUAAUGACGGUACCAUAUGAAUAAGCACCGGCUAACUCCGUGCCAGCAGCCGCGGUAAUACGGAGGGUGCAWGCGUUACUCGGAAUCACUGGGCGUAAAGCGCGCGCAGGCGGCUUUGUAAGUUGGAUGUGAAAGCCUACGGCUCAACCGUAGAACUGCAUCCAAAACUACUUAGCUAGAGUCUGGGAGGGGAAGAUGGAAUUAGUUGUGUAGGGGUAAAAUCCGUAGAGAUAACUAGGAAUACCAAAAGCGAAGGCGAUCUUCUGGAACAGUACUGACGCUGAGGCGCGAAAGCGUGGGRASCAAACAGGAUUAGAUACCCUGGUAGUCCACGCCCUAAAACGAUGAAUGUUAGUCGUCGGGGUUGCUAGUCAAUUCGGUGAUGCAGUUAACACAUUAAACAUUCCGCCUGGGGAGUACGGUCGCAAGAUUAAAACUCAAAGGAAUAGACGGGGACCCGCACAAGUGGUGGAGCAUGUGGUUUAAUUCGAAGAUACGCGAAGAACCUUACCUGGCCUUGACAUUGAGAGAAUCCGGUAGAGAUACUGGAGUGCCUUCGGGAGCUCGAAAACAGGUGCUGCACGGCUGUCGUCAGCUCGUGUCGUGAGAUGUUGGGUUAAGUCCCGCAACGAGCGCAACCCUCGUCCUUAGUUACUAACGGUUCGGCCGAGGACUCUAAGGAGACUGCCUUCGCAAGGAGGAGGAAGGUGAGGACGACGUCAAGUCAUCAUGGCCCUUACGGCCAGGGCAACACACGUGCUACAAUGGGUAGGACAAUGAGACGCGAUACCCGCGAGGUGGAGCAAAUCUAUAAACCUACUYUCARUUCGGAUUGUUCUCUUGCAACUUCGAGGAGCCAUGAAGCUGGAAUCACUAGUAAUCGUAGAUCAGCUAUGCUACGGUGAAUACGUUCCCGGGUCUUGUACUCACCGCCCGUCACACCAUGGGAGUUGAUUUCACCCGAAGCGGGGAAGCUAAACUGGCUACCCUCCACGGUGGAAUUAGCGACUGGGGUGAAGUCGUAACAAGGUAACAAGGGCGAAUUCCAGCACACUGGCGGCCGUUACUAGUGGAUCCGAGCUCGGUACCAAA
Molecule: ribosomal RNA, 1620 nt
Filed under: proteobacterium BHI60-9
Lineage: Bacteria; Pseudomonadati; Pseudomonadota
Description: 16S ribosomal RNA
Rfam family: Bacterial small subunit ribosomal RNA
Source: RNAcentral